GCCGGAAUCGCUAGUAAUCGCGAAUCAGAAUGUCGCGGUGAAUACGUUCCCGGGUCUUGUACACACCGCCCGUCACACCAUGGGAGUCGGAAAUGCCCGAAGUCAGUGACCUAACCGAAAGGGAGGAGCUGCCGAAGGUGGAGCCGGUAACUGGGGUGAAGUCGUAACAAGGUAAC
This 176-nucleotide ribosomal RNA is filed under the name uncultured bacterium. RNAcentral's name for it is "partial 16S ribosomal RNA". It matches the Rfam family "Bacterial small subunit ribosomal RNA", at positions 1325 to 1500 of the family's 1533-position model. The record is from RNAcentral.